This 579-nucleotide ribosomal RNA is filed under the name Triticum aestivum (bread wheat). RNAcentral's name for it is "partial small subunit ribosomal RNA". Lineage: Eukaryota; Viridiplantae; Streptophyta; Magnoliopsida; Poales; Poaceae. The record is from RNAcentral.
AUGCAGGAUCGUCAUGUGAUCGCCUAUGCAUCUCGACAGUUGCAUCCACAUGAGGAGAAUUAUCCUACACAUGAUUUAGAGCUUGCAGCCGUAGUCUAUGCACUCAAGACCUGGCGACAUUACCUCCUUGGUAAACGUUGCGAGAUCUACACCGAUCACCAGAGUCUCAAGUAUAUCUUCACCCAACCAGAUUUGAACCUUAGGCAAAGACGUUGGUUGGAGUUGAUCACAGAUUAUGAUCUAGGGAUUACCUACACCCUAGGCAAGGCCAAUGUCAUGGCUGAUGCUCUAAGUCGUAAAUCCUAUUGCAACAAUCUCAUGUUGCAGCAAGGCCAACCACUUCUCCAUGAGGAAUUCUGUAAGCUUAAUCUUCACAUUGCUCCUCGCGGAUUCCUUUCUACCUUGGUGGCGAAACCUACCCUUGAGGAUCAGAUCAUCUCUGACCAGAAGUUUGAUAGGGGGAUUAUCCGCAUUAAGAGAAACAUUAAGAAGGGAGUUGGUGGAUGUUUCUCUAUGGAUGAUCGUGGAGUUGUUUUCUUUGAGAAUCGCUUGGUGGUUCCCAAGAAUCAACAUCUGUGA